UCCUGCCACCUCCUCCGCAG
This 20-nucleotide microRNA is filed under the name Homo sapiens (human). Its description in RNAcentral is "hsa-miR-6727-3p". The record is from miRBase by way of RNAcentral. Lineage: Eukaryota; Metazoa; Chordata; Mammalia; Primates; Hominidae.